RNAcentral lists this ribosomal RNA (252 nucleotides) under uncultured bacterium. RNAcentral's name for it is "partial 16S ribosomal RNA". It matches the Rfam family "Bacterial small subunit ribosomal RNA", at positions 524 to 773 of the family's 1533-position model. The record is from RNAcentral.
UACGUAGGGGGCCAGGCGUUGUCCGAAGUUACUGGGCGUAAAGAGCGCGUAGGCGGGUCUUUAAGUGGGGGGUGAAAUUCUGAGGCUCAACCUCGGAACUGCCUCCCAUACUGGGGACCUUGAGUCCGGAAGAGGAGAGUGGAAUUCCUGGUGUAGCGGUGAAAUGCGCAGAUAAUCAGGAAGAACACCAAUGGCGAAGGCAGCUCUCUGGGACGGUACUGACGCUGAGACGCGAAAGCGUGGGGAGCGAAC